Molecule: non-coding RNA, 89 nt
Organism: Acanthosepion pharaonis
Lineage: Eukaryota; Metazoa; Mollusca; Cephalopoda; Sepiida; Sepiidae
Source: the annotation of a GenBank genome assembly
CGAAACACUGGUUCCCGUAGAAGUUAAGCAAUAUCGAUCCUGGUCAGUACCUAGAUGGGUGACCGCUUGGGAAUAUCUGGUGCUGUAAG